This 253-nucleotide ribosomal RNA is filed under the name uncultured bacterium. RNAcentral's name for it is "partial 16S ribosomal RNA". It matches the Rfam family "Bacterial small subunit ribosomal RNA", at positions 524 to 776 of the family's 1533-position model. The record is from RNAcentral.
UACGUAGGGUGCAAGCGUUGUCCGGAAUUAUUGGGCGUAAAGAGCACGCAGGCGGUUUGGCAAGUCGGAUGUGAAAACCCGGAGCUCAACUCCGGACCUGCAUCCGAAACUGCCCGACUAGAGGUAGGUAGGGGAGAUCGGAAUUCCUGGUGUAGCGGUGAAAUGCGCAGAUAUCAGGAGGAACACCGGUGGCGAAGGCGGAUCUCUGGGCCUUACCUGACGCUCAGGUGCGAAAGCUAGGGGAGCGAACAGG